GACGAACGCUGGCGGCGUGCUUAACACAUGCAAGUCGAACGGAAAGGCCCUGCUUGCAGGGUACUCGAGUGGCGAACGGGUGAGUAACACGUGGGUGAUCUGCCCUGCACUUCGGGAUAAGCCUGGGAAACUGGGUCUAAUACCGGAUAGGAGCCAUUUUUAGUGUGAUGGUUAGAAAGUUUUUUCGGUGUAGGAUGAGCUCGCGGCCUAUCAGCUUGUUGGUGGGGUAAUGGCCUACCAAGGCGGCGACGGGUAGCCGGCCUGAGAGGGUGGACGGCCACAUUGGGACUGAGAUACGGCCCAGACUCCUACGGGAGGCAGCAGUGGGGAAUAUUGCACAAUGGGCGCAAGCCUGAUGCAGCGACGCCGCGUGGGGGAUGACGGCCUUCGGGUUGUAGACUCCUUUCGCUAGGGACGAAGCUUUUUGUGACGGUACCUAGAUAAGAAGCACCGGCUAACUACGUG
RNAcentral lists this ribosomal RNA (465 nucleotides) under uncultured bacterium. Its description in RNAcentral is "partial 16S ribosomal RNA". It matches the Rfam family "Bacterial small subunit ribosomal RNA", at positions 28 to 507 of the family's 1533-position model. The record is from RNAcentral.